Molecule: ribosomal RNA, 303 nt
Filed under: uncultured bacterium
Lineage: Bacteria
Description: partial 16S ribosomal RNA
Rfam family: Bacterial small subunit ribosomal RNA
Source: RNAcentral
AGCAGUCGCCACGGUAAUGCGUAGGUGGCAAGCGUUGUCCGGAAUUAUUGGGCGUAAGGGCUCGCAGGCGGUUUCUUAAGUCUGAUGUGAAAGCCCCCGGCUCAACCGGGGAGGGUCAUUGGAAACUGGGAAACUUGAGUGCAGAAGAGGAGAGUGGAAUUCCACGUGUAGCGGUGAAAUGCGUAGAGAUGUGGGGGAACACCAGUGGCGAAGGCGACUCUCUGGUCUGUAACUGACGCUGAGGAGCGAAAGCGUGGGGAGCGAACAGGAUUAGAUACCCCGGUAGUCCCUGUCUCUUAUACA